RNAcentral lists this ribosomal RNA (441 nucleotides) under Drosophila martensis. Its description in RNAcentral is "partial 12S ribosomal RNA". The record is from RNAcentral. Lineage: Eukaryota; Metazoa; Arthropoda; Insecta; Diptera; Drosophilidae.
UAUUAUUUAAAAUGUAAAUAAAAAUGCUUAAGUAGUAAUAGUUAUGUUCUUGAAACUUAAAAAAUUUGGCGGUAUUUUAGUCUAUCCAGAGGAACCUGUUUUGUAAUCGAUAAUCCACGAUGGACCUUACUUAAGUUUGUAAUCAGUUUAUAUACCGUCGUUAUCAGAAUAUUUUAUAAGAAUAAUAAUAUUCAAUAAUUUUUAAAAGAAUUUAUAUCAGAUCAAGGUGUAGCUUAUAUUUAAGUAAUAAUGGGUUACAAUAAAUUUAUUUAAACGGAUAAAAUUAUGAAAAAAUUUUUGAAGGUGGAUUUGGUUGUAAAAUUAUAAAGAUUAAUAAUUUGAUUUUAGCUCUAAAAUAUGUACACAUCGCCCGUCGCUCUUAUUAUUAAGGUAAGAUAAGUCGUAACAUAGUAGAUGUACUGGAAAGUGUAUCUAGAAUGA